AGAGAGAAUACCUUUAGGGUGUUUUACUUUCGCCAAUCAUCACACGCGUCCUUAGCGUUUUUACCCCAGCGUUAAAAAUGCAAAAUAGGAAGCCUCCUGUCAUGUAAUAAAAUUGUAGAUUAUGCUAGCGUAGUGUACAGAUAAUCUUAAUUUUAAUAAUGACAGGAGGCGAGUAUUUUCCCCCCCUUUUUUCUUGGUCAUUCCCUCCCUAUACUCUGAGGUUUCACACACUAUUUCAGUUAGCUAUGGGUAAAAACUGGGAUAAAGGACGCUUAAACCAGAUGUCAUUUACUAUUUAGUUCAGUUAUCAGAUCAGACUAUAC
This is a non-coding RNA of Pelobates cultripes (western spadefoot toad), 323 nucleotides long. NCBI's taxonomy places the organism in Eukaryota, Metazoa, Chordata, Amphibia, Anura, Pelobatidae. The record is from the annotation of a GenBank genome assembly.